RNAcentral lists this ribosomal RNA (627 nucleotides) under uncultured bacterium. RNAcentral's name for it is "bacterial SSU rRNA". It matches the Rfam family "Bacterial small subunit ribosomal RNA", at positions 146 to 790 of the family's 1533-position model. The record is from RNAcentral.
ACAGUUGGAAACGACUGCUAAUACCGCAUAAGCGCACAGGAUCGCAUGAUCCGGUGUGAAAAACUCCGGUGGUAUGAGAUGGACCCGCGUCUGAUUAGCCAGUUGGCAGGGCAACGGCCUACCAAAGCGACGAUCAGUAGCCGACCUGAGAGGGUGACCGGCCACAUUGGGACUGAGACACGGCCCAAACUCCUACGGGAGGCAGCAGUGGGGAAUAUUGCACAAUGGGGGAAACCCUGAUGCAGCGACGCCGCGUGAGCGAAGAAGUAUUUCGGUAUGUAAAGCUCUAUCAGCAGGGAAGAAGAAUGACGGUACCUGAUUAUUAAGCACCGGCUAAAUACGUGCCAGCAGCCGCGGUAAUACGUAUGGUGCAAGCGUUAUCCGGAUUUACUGGGUGUAAAGGGAGCGCAGGCGGUGCGGCAAGUCUGAUGUGAAAAUCCGGGGCUCAACUCCGGAACUGCAUUGGAAACUGUCAGACUAGAGUGUCGGAGAGGUAAGUGGAAUUCCUAGUGUAGCGGUGAAAUGCGUAGAUAUUAGGAGGAACACCAGUGGCGAAGGCGGCUUACUGGACGAUAACUGACGCUGAGGCUCGAAAGCGUGGGGAGCAAACAGGAUUAGAUACCCUGG